CGGCGAGGACGCUAUAGUGGACUCUAACACAUAAGCCACGCACCCGCACGGCGGCGCUCGAUCUGGCUGUCUGGCUAGUUCUUGAGGAGGUAGUCGUCGAGGUCGUGGAAGGUCUUGGCGGCGGUCUCCUUGAUGACGUCCGGGUCGGGCACCUCCUCGCUGGCCUUGUCGAAGUCCAUGGUCCAGCUCACCACCGCGCCGUCGGCGGCGGGGGCGGCGGCGCCGCCCUUGGGGGUCACCUGCAGCGUCACCCUGAAGUUCUUGUAGAAGCUGACCAGCUCGCCGUCCACCACGCUGUACGACACCACCUUCUUCUCGUCGUCCGCCACCUCCACCUUCUCCUUCGCGAACGUCACCAUCGGCACCCCUUCGGUGUACUUGAGGAGGCGGACGGUGCCGGCGGACUUGCCGUCGCCCUCGACGGUCUCGAUGCUCUUGUACUGCUCGG
RNAcentral lists this unclassified non-coding RNA (448 nucleotides) under Hevea brasiliensis (rubber tree). Lineage: Eukaryota; Viridiplantae; Streptophyta; Magnoliopsida; Malpighiales; Euphorbiaceae. The record is from RNAcentral.